This 492-nucleotide ribosomal RNA is filed under the name uncultured bacterium. RNAcentral describes it as "partial 16S ribosomal RNA". It matches the Rfam family "Bacterial small subunit ribosomal RNA", at positions 29 to 507 of the family's 1533-position model. The record is from RNAcentral.
AGUGAACGCUGGCGGUAGGCCUAACACAUGCAAGUCGAACGGCAGCACAGUAAGAGCUUGCUCUUACGGGUGGCGAGUGGCGGACGGGUGAGGAAUACAUCGGAAUCUACUUUUUCGUGGGGGAUAACGUAGGGAAACUUACGCUAAUACCGCAUACGACCUACGGGUGAAAGCAGGGGAUCUUCGGACCUUGCGCGAUUGAAUGAGCCGAUGUCGGAUUACCUAGUUGGCGGGGUAAAGGCCCACCAAGGCGACGAUCCGUAGCUGGUCUGAGAGGAUGAUCAGCCACACUGGAACUGAGACACGGUCCAGACUCCUGCGGGAGGCAGCAGUGGGGAAUAUUGGACAAUGGGCGCAAGCCUGAUCCAGCCAUACCGCGUGGGUGAAGAAGGCCUUCGGGUUGUAAAGCCCUUUUGUUGGGAAAGAAAAGCAGCAGGUUAAUACCCCGCUGUUCUGACGGUACCCAAAGAAUAAGCACCGGCUAACUUCGUG